UAGGGAAUCUUCGGCAAUGGACGAAAGUCUGACCGAGCAACGCCGCGUGAGUGAAGAAGGUUUUCGGAUCGUAAAACUCUGUUGUUAGAGAAGAACAAGGACGUUAGUAACUGAACGUCCCCUGACGGUAUCUAACCAGAAAGCCACGGCUAACUACGUGCCAGCAGCCGCGGUAAUACGUAGGUGGCAAGCGUUGUCCGGAUUUAUUGGGCGUAAAGCGAGCGCAGGCGGUUUCUUAAGUCUGAUGUGAAAGCCCCCGGCUCAACCGGGGAGGGUCAUUGGAAACUGGGAGACCUGAGUGCAGAAGAGGAGAGUGGAAUUCCAUGUGUAGCGGUGAAAUGCGUAGAUAUAUGGAGGAAAACCAGUGGCGAAGGCGGCUCUCUGGUCUGUAACUGACGCUGAGGCUCGAAAGCGUGGGGAGCAAACAGG
Molecule: ribosomal RNA, 429 nt
Filed under: Gemmatimonadota bacterium
Lineage: Bacteria; Pseudomonadati; Gemmatimonadota
Description: Gemmatimonadetes bacterium partial 16S ribosomal RNA
Rfam family: Bacterial small subunit ribosomal RNA
Source: RNAcentral